AACGCAUCUUGCGCUCCUUGGUAUUCCGAGGAGCAUGCCUGUUUGAGUGUCAUUAAAUAUCUCAAAAAGCUCGUGCUUUUUUGGCAUGGGAUUUUUGGACAUUGGGAGUUGCCGGCUGCUGAUAAAGUGGUGGGCUCUUCUGAAAAGCAUUAGUUGAGGAGCUUUGCACUCUAUUGGUGUGAUAAACUAUCUAUGCCAGGAGAUGCUUCAUGAUCCUCUGCUAUCUAACUGUCUUUAUCAGACAAUAUGAUAAACUUGACCUCAAAUCAGGUAGGACUACCCGCUGAACUUAA
This 293-nucleotide unclassified non-coding RNA is filed under the name Cosmospora sp. RNAcentral's name for it is "partial contains 5.8S ribosomal RNA, internal transcribed spacer 2, and large subunit ribosomal RNA". The stretch from base 1 to 52 matches the Rfam family "5.8S ribosomal RNA", at positions 103 to 154 of the family's 154-position model. RNAcentral also lists the same sequence under 1 other name. The record is from RNAcentral. Lineage: Eukaryota; Fungi; Ascomycota; Sordariomycetes; Hypocreales; Nectriaceae.